CGGAGCUUGCUCUGGUGGCGAGUGGCGAACGGGUGAGUAAUAUAUCGGAACGUACCCUGGAGUGGGGGAUAACGUAGCGAAAGUUACGCUAAUACCGCAUAAGAUCUACGGAUGAAAGUGGGGGAUCGCAAGACCUCAUGCUCGUGGAGCGGCCGAUAUCUGAUUAUCUAGUUGGUAGGGUAAAAGCCUACCAAGGCAUCGAUCACUAGCUGGUCUGAGAGGACGACCAGCCACACUGGAACUGAGACACGGUCCAGACUCCUACGGGAGGCAGCAGUGGGGAAUUUUGGACAAUGGGCGCAAGCCUGAUCCAGCAAUGCCGCGUGAGUGAAAAAAGCCUUCGGGUUGUAAAGCUCUUUUGUCAGGGAAGAAACGGUGAGAGCUAAUAUCUUUUGCUAAUGACGGUACCUGAAAAAUAAGCACCGGCUAACUACGUGCCAGCACCCGCGGUAAUACAUAGGGUGCAAGCGUUAAUCGGAAUUACUGGGCGUAAAGCGUGCGCAGGCGGUUUUGUAAGUCUGAUGUGAAAUCCCCGGGCUCAACCUGGGAAAUGCAUUGGAGACUGCGAGGCUAGAAUCUGGCAGAGAGGGGUAGAAUUCCCCGUGUACAUUGAAAUGCGUAUAUAUGUGGAGGAACACCCGAUGGCGAAAGCAGCCCCCCUGGGUCAAAAAUUGACACUCAUGC
Molecule: ribosomal RNA, 684 nt
Filed under: Janthinobacterium lividum
Lineage: Bacteria; Pseudomonadati; Pseudomonadota; Betaproteobacteria; Burkholderiales; Oxalobacteraceae
Description: bacterial SSU rRNA
Rfam family: Bacterial small subunit ribosomal RNA
Source: RNAcentral